This 252-nucleotide ribosomal RNA is filed under the name uncultured bacterium. RNAcentral's name for it is "partial 16S ribosomal RNA". It matches the Rfam family "Bacterial small subunit ribosomal RNA", at positions 525 to 776 of the family's 1533-position model. The record is from RNAcentral.
ACGGAGGGUGCAAGCGUUAAUCGGAAUUACUGGGCGUAAAGCGCACGCAGGCGGUUUGUUAAGCGAGAUGUGAAAUCCCCGGGCUCAACCUGGGAAUUGCAUUUCGAACUGGCAAACUAGAGUACGAGAGAGGGGGGUAGAAUUCCAGGUGUAGCGGUGAAAUGCGUAGAUAUCUGGAGGAAUACCGAUGGCGAAGGCAGCCCCCUGGUUCGAUACUGACGCUCAGGUGCGAAGGCGUGGGGAGCAAACAGG